This 767-nucleotide long non-coding RNA is filed under the name Homo sapiens (human). RNAcentral describes it as "HSALNT0396667". The record is from RNAcentral. Lineage: Eukaryota; Metazoa; Chordata; Mammalia; Primates; Hominidae.
UGGGCCUAGCCCCUAGGUUCUAUGACUCUUUUGAUGAUUCUGAGCCCUAUCUACAGAGGUCAUUGGGAAAUAUCUCUUGGCCCAUCUACUAGGUUCUGCCAAAACAAGUGAUUGCAACAUAUAAUUGGACCAGCAACUAGAUGAUGUGACUCUUCUCUUCUGCCUGAGCCCUGGAUAUACUGUGUAUUAUGACACAUGGCUGAGUCCAACAUCAAGGUGAUGUGACUGACCACUUCUGCCUGGGCCAUGCCGAAAAAAGGAGAUUGUGACAUAUCACUGCAUUCAAUACCUAGAUGAUGCUCCAUGACAAGUGGCACCAACAACAGGGACUUCAAGGACGUGACGAAGAAGGUCUGCUAGAGCAGAGGAAGUGAAAUUUACCAGAUGAACCGGGACCCCAGGACGAGUCUGUCAGCAGGGAAUAUAAGCUCGAGCUGAGCUUUUGAUUGCUGUCCACCACUGCUAUUUGCCGCCAUUGCAGACCUGCCACUGACUUUCAUCCCUCCAGAUCCAGCAAGGUGUCCACUGUGCUCCUGAUCCAGCAAGGCACCCAUUGCUGCUCCUAAUCAGGCUAAAGGCUUGCCAUUGUUCCUGCAUGGCUAAGUUCCUGGGUUCAUUCUAAUCAAGCUGAACAGUAGUCACUGGGUUCCAUGGUUCUCUUCCAUGACCCAUGGCUUCCAAUAGAACUAUAACACUCACCUCAUGGCCCAAGAUUCCAUUCCUUGGAAUCCGUGAAGCCAAGAACCCCAGGUCAGAGAACAUAAGGC